This 357-nucleotide ribosomal RNA is filed under the name Ircinia variabilis. RNAcentral describes it as "eukaryotic LSU rRNA". It matches the Rfam family "Eukaryotic large subunit ribosomal RNA", at positions 1 to 353 of the family's 3401-position model. The record is from RNAcentral. RNAcentral also lists the same sequence under 1 other name. Lineage: Eukaryota; Metazoa; Porifera; Demospongiae; Dictyoceratida; Irciniidae.
GACCUCGGAUCAGGCCAGGCUACCCGCUGAAUUUAAGCAUAUUAAUAAGCGGAGGAAAAGAAACUAACAAGGAUUCCCUCAGUAACGGCGAGCGAAGCGGGAAUAGCUCAAAUUUGAAAUCUCCGGUGCGUGCACCGGCGAAUUGUAGUCUGUAGGGCCAGUUUCGCCCGAGACGGUGUCCCCAAAGUCGUCCUGGAAAGGCGGGCCGGAGAGGGUGAGAGCCCCGUGCGCGGGGGCACCGUCGGAGGUAAGAUCUGUGCCCGAAGAGUCGGGUUGUUUGGGAUUGCAGCCCAAAAUGGGUGGUAAACUCCAUCUAAAGCUAAAUACUGGCACGAGACCGAUAGCGAACAAGUACCG